Molecule: long non-coding RNA, 1279 nt
Organism: Peromyscus californicus insignis
Lineage: Eukaryota; Metazoa; Chordata; Mammalia; Rodentia; Cricetidae
Exons: 5
Source: RefSeq, a predicted model, not a curated record
UCUCUCUCUCUCUCUCUCUCAAUAAAGCUCUAGAAAGGUAACCAUGCCCCGUGAUUCUUCCGCCACCGCAGCAGCGUCCAGCGCUCUUUCCCGUCUGCAUAGCCACUGCGGGCGCCGCCGCUUCACCAACAAUCUUCAAACUUAGGAAAGUGUCUGACCACCGCAAAGCCUUCAGUAAUUACGAGGUGGAGGCGCCCAGAAUUAGUACACGAUCAUUUUAACACGGUAAUGAAGUUGGUCCGGCCCGUGGGAUGGAAGCGCCUGCCACAGGAAACCAACUGGUCUUGCCACCAGCGCUCUCCAGGCAUUUCCCCCUGCCGCGCCUUCUUCGCCCCAGCACUCGCAGCGGCCCAAGCUGCCUUCUGGGUUUCCAACUGCAGAAAAGCUGCGCUCCCAGGUCUGCCUCUCCCCGGGAACCUCACCUCGGGCGCGUUUUUCUCUUAGGGGGUUCCUAAAGUCCCAAAGUUGGGACCAUUUAAGUGAGCGUGACCGUGUCCUAGUCCCGCUCUAAAUCUCGGGCUUUUAUUCGUCCAUCCGGCUUUGGAGCUGAAGUUGGAGGAGGGCAGCUAACAUCCGGUUGCUCGGAGGCACGGCCACUGGGCUCGGGAGGAGUGGCGCGCCGCUGGCCCACCUGGACCCGGGGACCCUUCCCGGUCCCUGGCGGUGGUCGUGCAGUCACGUGGCCUGAGGACGCGCGGCAGUGCGGGCACUCCAGAGACAGAGGGAAGAAGACCACAAGUUCAAGUUGCAGCCAAACCACCGUUUUGAAAUGCCCAGUGUUGAAAGCCUGAGUUCACCGCACUCCAUCCUGAAGGGAGGGGGCUGAGUGUCCGUGCAGCAGUUGCUCCCUGCCUGUGACCAAAAACGGAAUCAAGCUCUAGAGUACCGGGGUGAACCAGACAGGACCUGUGACCUGUGGGCGUGUCCGUUCUGCGCGAGGGUGUUUGGAGCAGGUUUGGGCUGUGGCGGAGGAGAUGUGCAGGUGGCUGACCUAGCCUAACACAGACACAGUUUUUCGAGACAGGGUUUCUCUGUGUAGUCCUGGCUGUCUCAGAACUCGCUCUGUGGACCAGGCUGGCCUCGAACUCACAGAGAUCCGCCUGCCUCUGCCUCCCGAGUGCUGGGAUUGAAGGUGUGCACUACCACCGCCUGGCUAUUUUCUAUUAUUUUAAGGCUAGCUCUUCUACACGGCCCAGGCUGAUCAUAAACUGGCUUCUUCCUGCUUCUGAGUACUCUCGACGUGCUGACGUUACAAGCCCGUGCUGCCACAGCUCGGUGA